CGGGACCCAGGAGGCAGGACAACCUGCCAGAGAGGCUGAAGGAGGUUCUCUCGCGCUGGAUUCUCGACAAGAAAAAGGAAGAGGGUCUCCCCUGCUUCCCUCGCCCACAACAGCUGAUCUUCCAGAGGUCGGCCGUUUCGUUCCUUGUCUUCAGAAUCUGGUGGAGUUGGAGGCAGACACCUGAGGUCAGGAAGGGAAGAGCCCAGGCCGACUAAAACAAUUCCCGUGCUCGCUGGAGAAUCAGCAGGUGCAUUUGCGUCUUAAAAACACCUUCAGUGGCACCAGCUUCCCCCCACGGCACCGGUUCUCGUCACUCUCCGAGGCUGCCCUCACCUUCGCAGGCCGUGAAUUGUUAAGAGAAUUUAGCCACAAACCAGGAUCACUGGAGAGCUGGAAGUACCUUGGAAGGGCUGAAUGGCAAAGGACUCAGGAGGACACCCGAGGAAUCACUUGCUUGGAUUGGAAGCUGCCAGAGUGUCAGAGCUGAGGGUUGCUAUCCUGAGGAGGCCAGGACCUCAAGUGAAGAUGAUAAAGGAAGCGGGAGAGGAGGAGCUGGGUGUGAGAAAGCGGAGACCCGUGGGAGGGACAAUGGAGUCCCAAACUGGACGGAGACCUGGAGAGCAGCGGGGAGCCCCCCAUGGCCACCAUCAAUACAGAAAUACAGACAGCAACCAGCACCUCUGUAAGUGGGAUGAACAGGUCUUAAAUUCCACUGGGGCCUCCACUCGGAACCCCGGGUCUGCUGGCUGGAUGAGCGAGAUCACAGCAUGGGGACUGGGCUCCCCCAAGGGCAGUGUGCAGGUGAUAUUUCCAUUGCUGGCCUGGUGACCACACGGAGCUUCUGCGACAUGGCGCUGGGCUGGAGAGUCCAGGUGGCUACAGGGCUCAGGGGUGAGACCACACAACCCAGUUGUCUCAUCUCCUUCCAAACUUAGUCUCAGAUUUGGGGUCCUCCACGUCUUCACCUGGUAUCAAAUGCUUGUUAACGUCACAGCCACCAUGCGGCAAUCACGCGUGUGUUUUCAUCCUCCCGAUGGCCUGUGAGUCCAGCAGCGGCCCGUUUUAUUUUUCAUUCAGAAACCUGAGAGGUGAAAGCUGAGUCACUUUUCCAAAGUCACCGAGUGGCUCAGUUGCAGGGCCAGAACAAAAACCAGGGCUCGGGCCAGUCCCUCCACCUCUGCCUUCCAGCCAGAGUGUCCAGGGACAGCAGGAGCAGCUGUGUGGGGAAAUUGCAGUGACACAUGCGCAAAGCAAAACAUGAUCAAAUUAAAGAAAUGCAAUUCCCAAAUAAAAAUUCUCCGCAAAGUAACACAAGGAGAGAAAACCAAACACCGCAUGUUCUCACUCAUAAGUGGGAGCCGAACAAUGAGAACACUUGGACACACGGAGGGGAACAUCACAUACCGGGGCCUGUCGGGGGCUGGGGGGCUGGGGGGCUGGGGGAAGGAGAGCAUUAGGACAAAUACCUAAUGUAAAUGACAAGUUGAUGGGUGCAACAACCAACAUGGCACAUGUAUACCUGUGUAUCCAGUCUGCAGUGGUGCACAUGUACCCCAGAACUUAAAGUAUAAUAAUAGAAAAUAAAUAAAGGGAAAUUAAAUAAGAAAAAAAAAGAAACUCCAGUACGUUAAAAGAAAAUACCUUAAAAUAUCCUCCAGACAGCCCAGUGCCCGUGGGUUUCUCUGGUGUCCGACCUCACAGGAUAAUUUUUGUGCCUUACAUGUCACAGAAGCAGUUAUAAUCAGAGACGGAGGGCGCUUCUCAUCUUUGGGAGAUGCUGAAAGGCCAGUGUCCACCGGCCCUGACAUUUCAUUUCCGCCCCCGUUUUCCUGUAAAGAGACAGAGGAAACGGGACAGCGGCCUUCGGGGUCAGCAUUCGGGAGCUGCCUGGUGGCAGGCGAGGACCCGAGGCAUUAGCGGCGUCUUCAGCUCCUGGGCCUGCUGAGCUCUGACCCACCCUCGGGUGGCUCAGAGGUGGCCGGUUCACUUCGAGAAGCCCAGGGAACAGAUUCUUCCUGAAUGAGUUUCAGAGAACAAUCUGCACUCUGGCAGCUUCCCAGCAGCUGCAAGUGGAGGUGGGAGGAGACCCGAGGUCGGGAGUCUCUAAAGUGUUUGCCUUUUUCACUCUUGAUGGAGAAAAGCCCAGAUGUGACUGUGGUUGGACGAGGUCCUGUCACAUGGCAUGUGUGGGCUCUGGGCUCACAUGGCUAUUCCGGGGGCAUCCAGGGUACUUAGGGGUCGCCCUUUAGCCUUCAGAGAGCUGCCUGGGAAGUGCUCACCUUGCGCAUAGCUGUGGCCCCUCCAGCUGCAGGAUUCCCC
This 2319-nucleotide long non-coding RNA is filed under the name Macaca mulatta (Rhesus monkey). Its description in RNAcentral is "lncRNA (ENSMMUG00000058949.1)". Lineage: Eukaryota; Metazoa; Chordata; Mammalia; Primates; Cercopithecidae. The record is from RNAcentral.